UCCUACGGGAGGCAGCAGUGGGGAAUACUGCACAAUGGGCGCAAGCCUGAUGCAGCAACGCCGCGUGAGGGACGAAGGCCUUCGGGUUGUAAACCUCUUUUAGUAGGGAAGAAGCGACUGGGUUUUCCUGGUAGUGACGGUACCUGCAGAAAAAGCACCGGCUAACUACGUGCCAGCAGCCGCGGUAAUACGUAGGGUGCAAGCGUUGUCCGGAAUUAUUGGGCGUAAAGAGCUCGUAGGCGGUUUGUCGCGUCUGCUGUGAAAACCCGAGGCUCAACCUCGGGCCUGCAGUGGGUACGGGCAGACUAGAGUGCGGUAGGGGAGAUUGGAAUUCCUGGUGUAGCGGUGGAAUGCGCAGAUAUCAGGAGGAACACCAAUGGCGAAGGCAGAUCUCUGGGCCGUAACUGACGCUGAGGAGCGAAAGCAUGGGGAGCGAACAGGAUUAGAUACCCUGGUAGUCCAUGCCGUAAACGUUGGGAACUAGAUGUGGGGACCAUUCCACGGUCUCCGUGUCGCAGCUAACGCAUUAAGUUCCCCGCCUGGGGAGUACGGCCGCAAGGCUAAAACUCAAAGGAAUUGACGGGGGCCCGCACAAGCGGCGGAGCAUGCGGAUUAAUUCGAUGCAACGCGAAGAACCUUACCAAGGCUUGACAUAUACCGGAAACGGCUGGAAACAGUCGCCCCGCAAGGUCGGUAUACAGGUGGUGCAUGGUUGUCGUCAGCUCGUGUCGUGAGAUGUUGGGUUAAGUCCCGCAACGAGCGCAACCCUCGUCCUAUGUUGCCAGCACGUAAUGGUGGGAACUCAUGGGAUACUGCCGGGGUCAACUCGGAGGAAGGUGGGGAUGACGUCAAAUCAUCAUGCCCCUUAUGUCUUGGGCUUCACGCAUGCUACAAUGGCCGGUACAAAGGGCUGCGAUACCGCAAGGUGGAGCGAAUCCCAAAAAGCCGGUCUCAGUUCGGAUUGAGGUCUGCAACUCGACCUCAUGAAGUCGGAGUCGCUAGUAAUCGCAGAUCAGCAACGCUGCGGUGAAUACGUUCCCGGGCCUUGUACACACCGCC
RNAcentral lists this ribosomal RNA (1059 nucleotides) under uncultured Cryobacterium sp. Its description in RNAcentral is "bacterial SSU rRNA". It matches the Rfam family "Bacterial small subunit ribosomal RNA", at positions 337 to 1394 of the family's 1533-position model. Lineage: Bacteria; Bacillati; Actinomycetota; Actinomycetes; Micrococcales; Microbacteriaceae. The record is from RNAcentral.